This 253-nucleotide ribosomal RNA is filed under the name uncultured bacterium. RNAcentral's name for it is "partial 16S ribosomal RNA". It matches the Rfam family "Bacterial small subunit ribosomal RNA", at positions 524 to 776 of the family's 1533-position model. The record is from RNAcentral.
UACGAACUGUGCGAACGUUAUUCGGAAUCACUGGGCUUACAGGGUGCGUAGGCGGCUUGUCAAGUAGGGUGUGAAAGCCCCCGGCUCAACCGGGGAAUGGCGCCCUAAACUGGCGAGCUGGAGUGAGAUAGGGGUGUGCGGAACUUCCGGUGGAGCGGUGAAAUGUGUUGAUAUCGGAAGGAACGCCGGUGGCGAAAGCGGCACACUGGAUCUCAACUGACGCUGAGGCACGAAAGCCAGGGGAGCGAACGGG